Molecule: ribosomal RNA, 484 nt
Filed under: uncultured bacterium
Lineage: Bacteria
Description: partial 16S ribosomal RNA
Rfam family: Bacterial small subunit ribosomal RNA
Source: RNAcentral
AUUGAACGCUGGCGGCAGGCCUAACACAUGCUAGUCGAGCGGAUGAAGGGAGCUUGCUCCUGGAUUCAGCGGCGGACGGGUGAGUAAUGCCUAGGAAUCUGCCUGGUAGUGGGGGAUAACGUCCGGAAACGGGCGCUAAUACCGCAUACGUCCUGAGGGAGAAAGUGGGGGAUCUUCGGACCUCACGCUAUCAGAUGAGCCUAGGUCGGAUUAGCUAGUUGGUGGGGUAAAGGCCUACCAAGGCGACGAUCCGUAACUGGUCUGAGAGGAUGAUCAGUCACACUGGAACUGAGACACGGUCCAGACUCCUACGGGAGGCAGCAGUGGGGAAUAUUGGACAAUGGGCGAAAGCCUGAUCCAGCCAUGCCGCGUGUGUGAAGAAGGUCUUCGGGUUGUAAAGCACUUUAAGUUGGGAGGAAGGGCAGUAAGUUAAUACCUUGCUGUUUUGACGUUACCAACAGAAUAAGCACCGGCUAACUUCGUG